UAAGACGAACCGUCCAAACGUUAUUCGGAAUCACUGGGCUUAAAGAGUGCGUAGGCGGCCUAGAAAGUUGGGUGUGAAAUCCCACGGCUCAACCGUGGAACUGCGCUCAAAACUGCUAGGCUUGAGGGAGAUAGGGGUGAGCGGAACUAAUGGUGGAGCGGUGAAAUGCGUUGAUAUCAUUAGGAACACCGGUGGCGAAGGCGGCUCACUGGGUCUUUUCUGACGCUGAGGCACGAAAGCUAGGGUAGCGAACGGGAUUAGAUACCCCGGUAGUCCUAGCUGUAAACGAUGAGCACUAGGUCGAGGGGACUUCCACAUCUUCUCGGCCGUAGCGAAAGUGUUAAGUGCUCCGCCUGGGGAGUAUGGUCGCAAGGCUG
This 377-nucleotide ribosomal RNA is filed under the name uncultured Planctomycetota bacterium. RNAcentral describes it as "bacterial SSU rRNA". It matches the Rfam family "Bacterial small subunit ribosomal RNA", at positions 521 to 896 of the family's 1533-position model. Lineage: Bacteria; Pseudomonadati; Planctomycetota. The record is from RNAcentral.